UUAGGGUUCGAUUCCGGAGAGGGAGCCUGAGAAACGGCUACCACAUCCAAGGAAGGCAGCAGGCGCGCAAAUUACCCAAUCCCGACACGGGGAGGUAGUGACAAUAAAUAACAAUACGGGGUUCUUUAGGAUCUCGUAAUUGGAAUGAGUACAAUUUAAAUCUCUUGACGAGGAACAAUUGGAGGGCAAGUCUGGUGCCAGCAGCCGCGGUAAUUCCAGCUCCAAUAGCGUAUAUUAAGGUUGUUGCAGUUAAAAAGCUCGUAGUUGAAUUUCGGGGUUAGUAGGUUGGUCAUGCCUCCGGUAUGUACUGAUCUCACUGAUUCCUCCUUCCUUAUGAACCGUAAUGCCAUUAAUUUGGUGUUGCGGGGAAUUUGGACUGUUACUUUGAAAAAAUUAGAGUGUUUAAAGCAAGCUAACGCUUGAAUACAUUAGCAUGGAAUAAUGAAAUAGGACGUUCGAUCCUAUUUUGUUGGUUUCUAGGAUUAACGUAAUGAUUAAUAGGGAUAGUUGGGGGCAUUAGUAUUCAAUUGUCAGAGGUGAAAUUCUUGGAUUUAUUGAAGACUAACUACUGCGAAAGCAUUUGCCAAGGAUGUUUUCAUUAAUCAAGAACGAAAGUUAGGGGAUCGAAGACGGUCAGAUACCGUCGUAGUCUUAACCAUAAACUAUGCCGACUAGGGAUCGGAUGAUGUUAAU
RNAcentral lists this ribosomal RNA (693 nucleotides) under uncultured Glomeromycotina. Its description in RNAcentral is "SSU rRNA". It matches the Rfam family "Eukaryotic small subunit ribosomal RNA", at positions 370 to 1067 of the family's 1831-position model. The record is from RNAcentral. Lineage: Eukaryota; Fungi; Glomeromycota.